RNAcentral lists this ribosomal RNA (406 nucleotides) under uncultured bacterium. RNAcentral describes it as "bacterial SSU rRNA". It matches the Rfam family "Bacterial small subunit ribosomal RNA", at positions 138 to 518 of the family's 1533-position model. The record is from RNAcentral.
GGGGGACAACACUCCGAAAGGGGGUGCCUAAUACCGGAUACGAAGUCUGUGCCGCAUGGUACGGAUUUGAAAGAUGGCCUCUAUUUAUAAGCUAUCGCCGGGGGAUGGGCCUGCGUCCGAUUAGCUGGUUGGUGGGGUAACGGCCUACCAAGGCGACGAUCGGUAGCCGGUCUGAGAGGAUGAACGGCCACAUUGGGACUGAGACACGGCCCAGACUCCUACGGGAGGCAGCAGUGGGGAAUCUUCCGCAAUGGGCGCAAGCCUGACGGAGCAACGCCGCGUGAGUGAGGAAGUUCUUCGGAACGUAAAGCUCUGUUGUUCCUGACGAACCUCCCUUCUAUCAACAACGGAGGGGACUGACGGUAGGGAACGAGGAAGCCACGGCUAACUACGUGCCAGCCGCCGC